This 175-nucleotide small RNA is filed under the name Gopherus agassizii (Agassiz's desert tortoise). RNAcentral's name for it is "TUC338 (ENSGAGG00000012527.1)". Lineage: Eukaryota; Metazoa; Chordata; Testudines; Testudinidae. The record is from RNAcentral.
GUGUUCUGGAUUGCUUGAAGCCCUCCUUUUAACCCACCAUAUAGGUACAGCAUGUGCAGCAGCACUACAAGCUUCAUCACACUGCCCUACCAGUGUGCUCCAUUCCUAGUAGUGAGCCCUCUGUUAGAGGAGGAAAGCUGGCUGAGUUUGCAUGUCCGGGCAGACUUUGGCUUCC